CGAUGAUCCGGUGCUUGCACCGGGGAUUAGUGGCGAACGGGUGAGUAACACGUGAGUAACCUGCCCUUGACUCUGGGAUAAGCCUGGGAAACUGGGUCUAAUACCGGAUAUGACUCCUCAUCGCAUGGUGGGGGGUGGAAAGCUUUUGUGGUUUUGGAUGGACUCGCGGCCUAUCAGCUUGUUGGUGAGGUAAUGGCUCACCAAGGCGACGACGGGUAGCCGGCCUGAGAGGGUGACCGGCCACACUGGGACUGAGACACGGCCCAGACUCCUACGGGAGGCAGCAGUGGGGAAUAUUGCACAAUGGGCGCAAGCCUGAUGCAGCGACGCCGCGUGAGGGAUGACGGCCUUCGGGUUGUAAACCUCUUUCAGUAGGGAAGAAGCGAAAGUGACGGUACCUGCAGAAGAAGCGCCGGCUAACUACGUGCCAGCAGCCGCGGUAAUACGUAGGGCGCAAGCGUUAUCCGGAAUUAUUGGGCGUAAAGAGCUCGUAGGCGGUUUGUCGCGUCUGCCGUGAAAGUCCGGGGCUCAACUCCGGAUCUGCGGUGGGUACGGGCAGGCUAGAGUGAUGUAGGGGAGACUGGAAUUCCUGGUGUAGCGGUGAAAUGCGCAGAUAUCAGGAGGAACACCGAUGGCGAAG
RNAcentral lists this ribosomal RNA (640 nucleotides) under Arthrobacter sp. RNAcentral describes it as "bacterial SSU rRNA". It matches the Rfam family "Bacterial small subunit ribosomal RNA", at positions 67 to 720 of the family's 1533-position model. Lineage: Bacteria; Bacillati; Actinomycetota; Actinomycetes; Micrococcales; Micrococcaceae. The record is from RNAcentral.